AAUGAACGCUGGCGGCAGGCCUAACACAUGCAAGUCGAGCGGUUGAAGUGAGCUUGCUCCUGGAUUCAGCGGCGGACGGGAGAGUAAUGCCUACGAAUCUGCCUGGUAGUGGGGGAUAACGUCCGGAUACGGGCGCUAAUACCUCAUACGCCCUGAGGGUGAAAGUGGGGGAUCCUCGGACCUCGCGCUAUCAUAUGAGCCUAGGUCGGAUUAGCGAGUUGGUGGGGUAAAGGCCUACCAAGGCGACGAUCCGUACCUGGUCUGAGAGGAUGAUCAGCCACACUGGAACUGAGACACGGUCCAGACUCCUACGGGAGGCAGCAGUGGGGAAUAUUGGACAAUGGGCGAAAGCCUGAUCCAGCCAUGCCGCGUGUGGGAAGAAGGUCUUCGGAUUGUAAAGCACUUUAAGUUGGGAGGAAGGGCAGUAAGUUGAUACCUUGCUGUUUUGACGUUACCAACAGAGAAAGCAACGGCUAACUACGUG
Molecule: ribosomal RNA, 484 nt
Filed under: uncultured bacterium
Lineage: Bacteria
Description: partial 16S ribosomal RNA
Rfam family: Bacterial small subunit ribosomal RNA
Source: RNAcentral